RNAcentral lists this ribosomal RNA (3293 nucleotides) under Candidatus Saccharibacteria bacterium TM7i. RNAcentral's name for it is "Bacterial large subunit ribosomal RNA". It matches the Rfam family "Bacterial large subunit ribosomal RNA". Lineage: Bacteria; Candidatus Saccharimonadota. The record is from Rfam by way of RNAcentral.
UAAAAAGGUACUCAAGGGCACAAAAUGGAUGCCUAGACGUAUAUUACCGAUGAAGGACGUGGAAGACUGCGAUAAGUCUCGGAGAGCUGUCAACAAGCUUUGACCCGGGAAUGUCCGAAUGAGGAAACUCAGCACGAGUCAUGUCGUGUUACUCUUAUCUGAAUAAAAUAGGAUAGGUAGAGGGAACCAACUGAACUGAAACAUCUUAGUAGGUUGAGGAAGAGAAAAUAAAUAAUGAUUCCGGGAGUAGUGGCGAGCGAAACUGGAAGAGCCCAAACCUUACAUGUUCUCAUUCUUAGGAGGUGUACUUCGGUACAUCGUGAGUGGGUAUGGCUGAUAGGCUAAUGCAUGCAGGGGGUUGUGAUUUUACACGAGACCAAGUCAGAGAACUUGAAAUUUAUUUCGAGGUAUCUGAUUUGCGAUCAUCGGCUAUCACCGAAUGAAUAAAGUAAGAAAUAUUGCUUGGUUAGCAGAAUAGUUUGAAUGACUAUCCAAAGAACGUGAAAGACGUGUACGCGAAAACCGAGCUGACUUUAUACGUGUUUUAUCGAGUAGGGCGGGGCACGAGAAACCCUGUCUGAAUCCGGCUGGACCACCAGCCAAGGCUAAAUAUAAUAUACGAUCGAUAGUGAACUAGUACAGCGAUGGAAAGGUGAAAAGAACCCCGGGAGGGGAGUGAAAUAGAUCCUGAAAUUUUGUGCCUACAAGGAGUCGGAGCCCGCUUGUCGGGUGACGGCGUGCUUUUUGUAGAACGAUCCAGCGAGUUAAUUUCGUGCGCAAGGUUAAGUCAAGUGACGGAGCCACAGUGAAAGCGAGCCUGAAUAGGGCGAUUAAGUGCACGGGAUUAGACCCGAAACCGGGUGACCUAACCAUGAGCAGGUUGAAGCUUCUGUAACAGGAAGUGAAGGACCGAACCGUAGUCAGCAGCAAAUGGCCCGGAUGACUUGUGGUUAGCGGUGAAAUGCCAAUCGAACUCGGAGAUAGCUGGUUCUCCUCGAAAUAGCUUUAGGGCUAGCGUCGUGUAGUAGCAUUUGGGGGUAGAGCUCUGAAAAGGACUGGGGCGGGCAACUGUACCCACCCUUAUCAAACUACGAAUACCAAAUGUGUAAUCACGGCAGUUAGAACGUCGGGGCUAAGCUCGGCGCUCGAAAGGGAAACAGCCCAGACCAUCGUCUAAGGUCCCUAAAUUUACACUCAGUGGGAAACAAGGUGAGAUUUCUUAAACAGCUAGGAUGUUGGCUUAGAAGCAGCCAUUCAUUUAAAGAGUGCGUAACAGCUCACUAGUCAAGAGAUCUUGCGUGGAAAAUGUAACGGGGCUAAAGUGUAAUACCGAAGACAUGGAUGUGCUAUACCUGCGGGUAUAGUGCGUGGUAGAGGAGCGUUCCUAUCAGCGGUGAAGUCAGACUGGAAAGUACUGGUGGAGCGUUAGGAAGUGAGAAUGCUGGAAUGAGUAACCAUAAGAUAGGUGAGAAUCCUAUCGGCCGUAAGAGCGAGGUUUCCUGAGCCAUGGUAAUCAUCUCAGGGUUAGUCGGGCCUAAGCCGAGGCGCAUAGCGUAGGCGAUGGACAUCAGGUUAAUAUUCCUGAACCGGUUAUACUUUGCACACUGUUCACGGUGAUAUAUUUGAAGCGGAUUCAUGGUAUGUAUCCGUCCAACCUAGGGGGAACCCGAUGGGAGUGAAAGGUGAUCUUCGGAUUACCGAUUUCAGAGAAGGCACUGGCCAGAAAAGCAGAUGUGCGCGUGGGUAUAGCCGCCCGUACCGCAAACCAACACAGGUGCUCGAGUCGAGUAGACUCAGGCUUACGAGAGAACCUUCGCUAAGGAACUCGGCAAUACAGCGACCGUAACUUCGGGAUAAGGUCUGCCCCCUCUUCUUUGAAGAGGAAUUGCCGCGUACACUCAGCAAGGUGAUAAAAUACGGUUAAAUAGUGUAGUAACGAUACACAUGAGUACGCACCAUAUCGUCUUUCUAAUCUAGGAAGCAAAGUUUUGUUGCAAGACAAAGCCUCUUGAUCCGAUGUGGUCGUGAAAAACCCUUUUUAAUCACAAUUCUUACUGAGAUAGAGCAAUAUGAAAAUCAUGCACACGCAUGGAGUUAUUACUGUUCUUUUGUACGCGGAGUUACUUCGUCUUUAAUGAUGAGGGGGCCGCAGCAAAAGAGCCCACGGAACUGUUUAUCAAAAACACAGGUCUCUGCUAACACGAAAGUGGAUGUAUAGGGGCUGACUCCUGCCCGGUGCCGGAAGGUUAAGGCGAAGGCUUCACGGUCUGAACUGAAGCCCCGGUGAACGGCGGCGGUAACUAUAACCGUCCUAAGGUAGCGAAAUUCCUUGUCAGGUAAGUUCUGACCCGCACGAAUGGAGUAAUCAUGUGGGCACUGUCUCAGCGAAGGACUCGGUGAAAGUGCAUUGGCGGUAAAGAUGCCGUCUGUCCGUACCAGGACGAGAAGACCCCAUGGAGCUUUACUACAGUUUUACAUUGAUACGAGUUUUGGCCCGUGUAGAAUAGGUGGGAGACGUUGAAGCAGAUACGCUAGUAUUUGUGGAGUCGAAAUGUGAAAUACCACCCUUGCCAAGGUUUUUAUCUAACCUGUGCCGUUAUCCGGUAUGGGAACAGUGUAUGAUGGGUAGUUUAACUGGGGCGGUUGCCUCCUAAAGAGUAGCGGAGGCGUUCAAAGGUUGGCUAGCUUCGGAUGGAAAUCGAAGUGAUAGUGUAUGCGCAAAAGCCAGCUUGACUGUGAGGAGUACCUUCCAAGCAGAGACGAAAGUCGGAGCAAGUGAACCGCUGUACGUACAAUUUGUACAUAUAUGUGGGAAUGACAGCGAACACGGAUAAAAGUUACCCUGGGGAUAACAGGCUUAUAGCGCCCAAUAGUUCACAUAGACGGCGCUGUUUGGCACCUCGAUGUCGGCUCAUCACAUCCUGGAGGGGGAGCACCUUCCAAGGGUUCGGCUGUUCGCCGAUUAAAGUGGUACGCGAGCUGGGUUCAGAACGUCGUGAGACAGUUCGGUUUAUAUCCGGUACGGACGUUAGGAAAUUUGAGUGGAUUUGCCCUUAGUACGAGAGGACCGGGGUGAACGAACCUCUGGUGUAUCGAUUGUGGCCACCUGCCGCAUUGUCGAGUAGCUAUGUUCGGUUCUAGAUAAGCGCUGAAAGCAUAUUAAGCGCGAAACUGACCACAAGAUUAGAUUUCCCUAUGAGGACACAGAAAGAUUAUCUGUUUGAUAGGUGCAAGGUAGAAGUGCAGUAAUGCAUGCAGCUGAAGCAUACUAAUAGUCCCAUCGCCUUUUUAUG